RNAcentral lists this ribosomal RNA (710 nucleotides) under uncultured Serratia sp. Its description in RNAcentral is "bacterial SSU rRNA". It matches the Rfam family "Bacterial small subunit ribosomal RNA", at positions 768 to 1478 of the family's 1533-position model. Lineage: Bacteria; Pseudomonadati; Pseudomonadota; Gammaproteobacteria; Enterobacterales; Yersiniaceae. The record is from RNAcentral.
GCAAACAGGAUUAGAUACCCUGGUAGUCCACGCCGUAAACGAUGUCGACUUGGAGGUUGUUCCCUUGAGGAGUGGCUUCCGGAGCUAACGCGUUAAGUCGACCGCCUGGGGAGUACGGCCGCAAGGUUAAAACUCAAAUGAAUUGACGGGGGCCCGCACAAGCGGUGGAGCAUGUGGUUUAAUUCGAUGCAACGCGAAGAACCUUACCUACUCUUGACAUCCAGAGAACUUAGCAGAGAUGCUUUGGUGCCUUCGGGAACUCUGAGACAGGUGCUGCAUGGCUGUCGUCAGCUCGUGUUGUGAAAUGUUGGGUUAAGUCCCGCAACGAGCGCAACCCUUAUCCUUUGUUGCCAGCGGUUAGGCCGGGAACUCAAAGGAGACUGCCAGUGAUAAACUGGAGGAAGGUGGGGAUGACGUCAAGUCAUCAUGGCCCUUACGAGUAGGGCUACACACGUGCUACAAUGGCGCAUACAAAGAGAAGCGACCUCGCGAGAGCAAGCGGACCUCAUAAAGUGCGUCGUAGUCCGGAUUGGAGUCUGCAACUCGACUCCAUGAAGUCGGAAUCGCUAGUAAUCGUAGAUCAGAAUGCUACGGUGAAUACGUUCCCGGGCCUUGUACACACCGCCCGUCACACCAUGGGAGUGGGUUGCAAAAGAAGUAGGUAGCUUAACCUUCGGGAGGGCGCUUACCACUUUGUGAUUCAUGACUGG